This is a long non-coding RNA of Oncorhynchus tshawytscha (Chinook salmon), 3770 nucleotides long. The record is from Ensembl. Lineage: Eukaryota; Metazoa; Chordata; Actinopteri; Salmoniformes; Salmonidae.
AUAAUUUAAACCAGUUCUAUAUCAUUUAAACCAGUUCUAUAUCAUUUAAACCAGUUCUAUAUCACUUAAACCAGUUCUGUAUCAUUUAAACCUGUUCUGUAUCAUUUAAACCAGUGGUUUGGCAUUUCCACACAGUCACCCAACUGAAAAAAACACAAACUAAUAUGUGAUUUGAAAUACAAUUUUUUUAUAAUCUUUUCAUAACAAAGUAAAUAACUUUUUCUUUCUUUGAAUCAACAAAAUGUUAGCCGUUUCCAUGACGAUAAGACGUGUGUGUCGUGUGCAGAGAGUCAAAAGAGAAUCAUUAGUUCCAUGAGAAAAACAUUUGUUGGACAAGGGCCGUUUUGUUGAUUACCAACAUGUCUUGUCACUGUGGAAAGACUGAGGGUGUCUCCCAAAUUGCGCCCUAUGAGUCCCGGUCAAUAGAAUAGAACUAUAUAGGGAUUUAGGGCUCCAUUCGGGCUAGAUACCCCUAGGCUACUUCAAACAAUGUGAAAGUAGGAAUAUACCAUAAAUGUUUAAAAUACUUUAUUUUCUGUUUUCUUUUUUUAAAGAAGAAACAAACACUUGUGAACUAAAGGCUCUAUUCAGUGGCUAAAGCCCGAAGCGUAACAGAUUGAGUGAUACACAUGUAAAGGCCGUUUCCAAUACGGCCGAUAACAUGCGCCGUUUACUGUGAACGCAGUCGCCGCUAACAUUACCGUGACAUUUAAAUCUAUUAUAAAUGUAAAUCUUUAAACGCUGUAACGCUGAACUUCAGAGUGGAUAGAGUCCAGCCCUUUAGUCAGCGAAAGAUACACAACCCCUCUCUCUUUAGUGUUUACUAUUGGCCAUUUAUCUCUACUCAGUCUCAUAGGUCCCCUGUUACCUAUAUAGUGUUUCAGAUGUCCAGGUCCAAAGUAGUGCACUAUGUAGGGAAUAGGGUUCCAUAGGGCUCUGGUCUAAAGUAGUGCACUAUAUAGGGAAUAGGGCCCUGGUCUAAAGUAGUGCACUAUAUAGGGAAUAGGGUUCCAUAGGGCUCUGGUCUAAAGUAGUGCACUAUAUAGGGAAUAGGGUUCCAUAGGGCUCUGGUCUAAAGUAGUGCACUAUAUAGGGAAUAGGGUUCUAUAGGGCUCUGGUCUAAAGUAGUGCACUAUAUAGGGAAUAGGGCCCUGGUCUAAAGUAGUGCACUAUAUAGGAAAUAGGGUUCUAUAGGGCUCUGGUCUAAAGUAGUGCACUAUAUAGGGAAUAGGGCCCUGGUCUAAAGUAGUGCACUAUAUAGGGAAUAGGGCCCUGGUCUAAAGUAGUGCACUAUAUAGGGAAUAGGGUUCCAUAGGGCUCUGGUCUAAAGUAGUGCACUAUAUAGGGAAUAGGGUUCCAUAGGGCUCUGGUCUAAAGUAGUGCACUAUAUAGGGAAUAGGGCUCUGGUCUAAAGUAGUGCACUAUAUAGGGAAUAGGGCCCUGGUCUAAAGUAGUGCACUAUAUAGGGAAUAGGGCCCUGGUCUAAAGUAGUGCACUAUAUAGGGAAUAGGGUUCUAUAGGGCUCUGGUCUAAAGUGGUGCACUAUAUAGGGAAUAGGGUGCCUUGUAUCUGUAGUACUAUAAGGAGACAUAUUUAGUACAGACUUGUGGAUUUGAUUGAAUAAAACUGACUGUAAAAUCUUAUUAAAAAAUAGACUGUUUCAUACAAACAAACCAUUUCUGACGAAACAGUUGAACUCAAACCAAGCUUGAAUAUUUGGUUGUAAACGUGUCGAUGUUAAUGAUGCCGAUACAGUAUUAAUAAGGAACGUUGUUGAAAAGGAACUUAAAGACACACGUAAAAAAUAAAACAUUAAAAUACAUGGUAACAGGGAGAACACCCAUUGAAUGGUGUCUGGUAACUAUGAGGAAUGGACAUAGGGUGUUCUCUUCCUUGGGAUUCCUCCAAAACGGAACCCUAUUCUCUGGUCUAAAGUAGUGCACUAUAUAUAGGGAAUAGGGUUCCAUAGGUCUCUGGUCUAAAGUAGUGCACUAUAUAUAGGGAAUAGGGUUCCAUAGGGCUCUGGUCUAAAGUAGUGCACUAUAUAUAGGGAAUAGGGUUCCAUAGGGCUCUGGUCUAAAGUAGUGCACUAUGCAGGGAAUAGGGGUUCCAUAGGGUUCUGGUCUAAAGUAGUGCACUAUAUAGGGAAUAGGGUGCCAUAGGGCUCUGGUCUAAAGUAGUGCACUAUAUAGGGAAUAGGGUUCCAUAGGACUCUGGUCUAAAGUAGUGCACUAUAUAUAGGGAAUAGGGUUCCAUAGGGCUCUGGUCUAAAGUAGUGCACUAUGCAGGGAAUAGGGUUCCAUAGGGCUCUGGUCUAAAGUAGUGCACUAUGCAGGGAAUAGGGUUCCAUAGGGUUCUGGUCUAAAGUAGUGCACUAUAUAGGGAAUAUGGUGCCAUAGGGUUCUGGUCUAAAGUAGUGCACUAUAUAGGGAAUAGGGUUCUGGUCUAAAGUAGUGCACUAUAUAGGGAAUAGGGUUCUGGUCUAAAGUAGUGCACUAUGCAGGGAAUAGGUUGCCAUUUUGGAGUGUUAGAAUUUGAAAGCAGUUUAAUUUCGUUGAAUGUCAGUUCCAGUGGGAUUAACCUUUUCUGAAACAGAUUCAUUAGUUUACAACGUGCUUCCAGAAUUUGACAGUAGGUCUAAUAUAUAAAUGGCCUUUUAAAUAUGCAGCAUCCCUUUUUUCUUUGAAGCACACUACCUAAAGCCUCCGUAUUCACAAACUAAGUUGCAGUUUAAUUUAAAAAACAACAUUUAUUUAUGCUGAUCAAAAAGCUAAAAAAAAAAAGGAACAGAUUGAUUGGUCGAUUCAUUGAUUGAUAAGAUCUAAAGAUACAUUCUGGAUAUUUCAGAAUCUGACAUUCCUUCUAGAAAUAAGACUCAAAUGUUCAAUGAAUGUUCAAUGAAGAAAAAACUACUAGAUAAACAUUUUUUUUUAAAAAUAGAACACAAGCUUCAAACACCUUAGAAAGUCCCAAUAAUAUUUUAUUUAUUUUUUCUCCUCCCUCUUUCUUCAUAUAUUAUUUGUCCUCUAGGUUUUCUUUCUCAUCUGCAGUGACUGCUACCUUUUCUAACCUCCAGAUGGUGGUCUACUACAAGCACAGCUUCUUGUACUUGCAUUUACAAAAUCCAGCCGCAGUACAACGUUUGUCUUGAAGGGGGCACUGUUUACAGUUUGCCAAAGCAGACUAAACUCUAUUCAAUCUGCAUCGCCGAAGUUCAGCUUUGCGUCGUAAUUGAAAUUUAAAAGGCACUGUUCCUAAUUAGGGGAGACUGCAUUCACGGUAAACGCUGCACGUGUCGGCUCAAAUCGGAAAUGACCUUUCAAUUGAUUUAGCAGAAUCUGUAACGCCUCAGCUUUACAGACUGAAUAUAGGCCUGGAGUUCUAUGGUUUAGAUACUCCACAAAGGAAGCUUUAUUAUCAAAGACAUGGGGACUAAUAGUAAUAGGUAAUGGGGACCAACCCCCUUUUGGAGAAGCGGUCACAUAUUUUAACUCUGAGUUGACUUCUUAAGUGAAUACUGUUUUGAUUAUCUCUCUGUCUCUGUCUCUGUCUCUCUCUCUCUCUGUCUCUCUCUCUCUCUCUCUCUCUCUGUCUCUCUCUGUCUCUCUCUCUCUCUCUCUCUCUCUCUCUCUGUCUCUGACUGUCUGUCUCUGUCUCUGUCUCUCUCUCUCUCUCUGUCUCUCUCUCUCUCUCUCUCUCUCUCUCUCUCUGUCUCUCUCUCUGUCUCUCUCUCUCUCUCUGUCUCUCUGUCUCUGUCUCUCUCUCUCUCU